UACGAGGGGGGCGAGCGUUGUUCGGAAUUUAUUGGGCGUAAAGAGCGCGUAGGCGGUCCGAUAAGUCGGCUGUGAAAGUCAUGGGCUCAACCCAUGAAAGCCGGCCGAUACUGUCGGACUAGAGUCCGGAAGAGGCAAGUGGAAUUCCCGGUGUAGCGGUGAAAUGCGCAGAUAUCGGGAGGAACACCAAUGGCGAAGGCAGCUUGCUGGGACGGUACUGACGCUGAGGCGCGAAAGCGUGGGGAGCAAACAGG
Molecule: ribosomal RNA, 254 nt
Filed under: uncultured bacterium
Lineage: Bacteria
Description: partial 16S ribosomal RNA
Rfam family: Bacterial small subunit ribosomal RNA
Source: RNAcentral